GUCAGGGCCACCUGAUGGAUAUGGAUUGUCAGGGGGCCCAGUCAGUGCUGGGCGCUUUAACAGCACAACCGGGGCCCCUGUGAUGAGAUUACACAGAGCUGGGAGGAAGUGACUGCACGUCACUCCUCCCAGCUAACACUGAGAGCCGAGCGGGAGGAAGACCAGGGAGUCAGAGUGGGAACUCUGACUCCCAUCCACCUGAG
Non-coding RNA from Pelobates cultripes (western spadefoot toad), 203 nucleotides. The record is from the annotation of a GenBank genome assembly. Lineage: Eukaryota; Metazoa; Chordata; Amphibia; Anura; Pelobatidae.